This 900-nucleotide ribosomal RNA is filed under the name bacterium enrichment culture clone aHCH2_C7. Its description in RNAcentral is "bacterial SSU rRNA". It matches the Rfam family "Bacterial small subunit ribosomal RNA", at positions 46 to 965 of the family's 1533-position model. The record is from RNAcentral.
GCCUAACACAUGCAGUCGAGCGAGGGGAGUUCUUCGGAACAAACCUAGCGGCGGACGGGUGAGUAACACGUGGGCAACCUGCCUCAAAGAGGGGAAUAGCCUCCCGAAAGGGAGAUUAAUACCGCAUAAAGUUAUUUUUUCGCAUAAAGAGAUAACCAAAGGAGCAAUCCGCUUUGAGAUGGGCCCGCGGCGCAUUAGCUAGUUGGUGAGGUAACGGCUCACCAAGGCGACGAUGCGUAGCCGACCUGAGAGGGUGAUCGGCCACAUUGGAACUGAGACACGGUCCAGACUCCUACGGGAGGCAGCAGUGGGGAAUAUUGCGCAAUGGGGGAAACCCUGACGCAGCAACGCCGCGUGAGCGAUGAAGGUCUUCGGAUUGUAAAGCUCUGUCUUUUGGGACGAUAAUGACGGUACCAAAGGAGGAAGCCACGGCUAACUACGUGCCAGCAGCCGCGGUAAUACGUAGGUGGCAAGCGUUGUCCGGAUUUACUGGGCGUAAAGAGUAUGUAGGCGGACAUUUAAGUCAGAUGUGAAAUUCCCGGGCUUAACCUGGGAGCUGCAUUUGAUACUGGGUGUCUAGAGUGCAGGAGAGGAAAGUGGAAUUCCUAGUGUAGCGGUGAAAUGCGUAGAGAUUAGGAAGAACACCAGUGGCGAAGGCGACUUUCUGGACUGUAACUGACGCUGAAAUACGAAAGCGUGGGGAGCAGACAGGAUUAGAUACCCUGGUAGUCCACGCCGUAAACGAUGAAUACUAGGUGUCGGAGGGUACCACCUUCGGUGCCGCAACAAACGCAAUAAGUAUUCCGCCUGGGGAGUACGGUCGCAAGAUUAAAACUCAAAGGAAUUGACGGGGACCCGCACAAGCAGCGGAGCAUGUGGUUUAAUUCGAAGCAACGCGAA